Mauremys mutica (yellowpond turtle) is the source of this 522-nucleotide long non-coding RNA. RefSeq lists it as uncharacterized. The record is from RefSeq and is a predicted model, not a curated record. Lineage: Eukaryota; Metazoa; Chordata; Testudines; Geoemydidae. The transcript is spliced from 4 exons.
UGUAAGUAGAGAUCAUUAGUGGUGAGAAGGCUGGCACUGAAUUGGGGAGCUCAGGAGAGUGUGUGAAACUGAAGCUGGUGGAAACGGCAGCUGCUAGGAUCAAAUGUGGCCCCUGCAGAGCCCUAACUAGGUGCCAAGGCUCUGAAGCAAUCCUCUCCUCCCCUGCACAUGCUGCUUAAUGCGCUGAGCUCACACUUGCAAGGUUGCCAGCUUUGAAAGGAAGAUCCAGCCAGCCUAGAAACUAUUCAAGCAAGUGCCUCAGAUUGGGCUGCCUUCAGGAAGUUUACAUGCAGGGACCACCUCCCCCCACCCAAAAGAAGUGCAAACAUAGUGAAGCUGCAUUCCAAAACGAGACUGCAGGAAGACUUCCUGAGGUUCCAUGCAAAAACUAACAGGAGGCCAGAAGAGACAUGGAGCAGCCACUUGGGAUUGAACAGGGUCUGGUGGUGAUAAAAGGGCAGGGGCUGGGCUUCCUAGACGAGAGCCUUGCAACAUGCUCAGUGGAGGAACAGAGCAAGAGGA